GCAUAUCAAAAAGCGGAGGAAAAGAAACCAACAGGGAUUGCCUUAGUAGCGGCGAGUGAAGCGGCAAAAGCUCAAAUUUGAAAUCUGGCACUUUCAGUGUCCGAGUUGUAAUUUGAAGAAGGUAUCUUUGGGUCUGGCUCUUGUCUAUGUUUCUUGGAACAGAACGUCACAGAGGGUGAGAAUCCCGUGCGAUGAGAUGUCCCAGACCUAUGUAAAGUUCCUUCGAAGAGUCGAGUUGUUUGGGAAUGCAGCUCUAAGUGGGUGGUAAAUUCCAUCUAAAGCUAAAUAUUGGCGAGAGACCGAUAGCGAACAAGUACAGUGAUGGAAAGAUGAAAAGAACUUUGAAAAGAGAGUGAAAAAGUACGUGAAAUUGUUGAAAGGGAAGGGCUUGAGAUCAGACUUGGUAUUUUGUAUGUUACUCUCUCGGGGGUGGCCUCUACAGUUUACCGGGCCAGCAUCAGUUUGAGCGGUAGGAUAAGUGCAAAGAAAUGUGGCACUGCUUCGGUAGUGUGUUAUAGUCUUUGUCGAUACUGCCAGCUUAGACUGAGGACUGCGGC
Molecule: ribosomal RNA, 557 nt
Filed under: Lodderomyces parapsilosis
Lineage: Eukaryota; Fungi; Ascomycota; Pichiomycetes; Serinales; Debaryomycetaceae
Description: Candida parapsilosis partial large subunit ribosomal RNA
Rfam family: Eukaryotic large subunit ribosomal RNA
Source: RNAcentral